This 490-nucleotide ribosomal RNA is filed under the name uncultured bacterium. RNAcentral's name for it is "partial 16S ribosomal RNA". It matches the Rfam family "Bacterial small subunit ribosomal RNA", at positions 355 to 861 of the family's 1533-position model. The record is from RNAcentral.
UGGGGAAUAUUGCACAAUGGGCGAAAGCCUGAUGCAGCAACGCCGCGUGAGUGAUGAAGGUCUUCGGAUUGUAAAGCUCUGUCUUUUGGGACGAUAAUGACGGUACCAAAGGAGGAAGCCACGGCUAACUACGUGCCAGCAGCCGCGGUAAUACGUAGGUGGCGAGCGUUGUCCGGAUUUACUGGGCGUAAAGGGUGCGUAGGCGGAUGUUUAAGUGAGAUGUGAAAUACCCGGGCUUAACUUGGGUGCUGCAUUUCAAACUGGAUAUCUAGAGUGCAGGAGAGGAGAAUGGAAUUCCUAGUGUAGCGGUGAAAUGCGUAGAGAUUAGGAAGAACACCAGUGGCGAAGGCGAUUCUCUGGACUGUAGCUGACGCUGAGGCACGAAAGCGUGGGUAGCAAACAGGAUUAGAUACCCUGGUAGUCCACGCCGUAAACGAUGAGUACUAGGUGUAGGAGGUAUCGACCCCUUCUGUGCCGCAGUAAACACAUU